AAAGGGCGCGUAGGCGGAUAAACAAGUCAAGCGUGAAAGACCUGGGCUUAACCUGGGAAGUGCGUUUGAAACUGUUUGUCUUGAGUAAGGGAGAGGAAAGCGGAAUUUCCAGUGUAGAAGUGAAAUUCGUAGAUAUUGGAAGGAACAUCAGAGGCGAAGGCGGCUUUCUGGCCCUUAACUGACGCUGAGGCGCGAAAGCGUGGGGAGCGAACAGGAUUAGAUACCCCUGU
Molecule: ribosomal RNA, 230 nt
Filed under: uncultured bacterium
Lineage: Bacteria
Description: partial 16S ribosomal RNA
Rfam family: Bacterial small subunit ribosomal RNA
Source: RNAcentral